GGAGAGGUGUCCGAGUGGUCGAAGGAGCAGCACUGGAAAUGCUGUGCAUGGGUAACUGUGCCGAGGGUUCGAAUCCCUCCCUCUCCGCCA
RNAcentral lists this transfer RNA (90 nucleotides) under Nitrospirota bacterium. RNAcentral's name for it is "tRNA-Ser". It matches the Rfam family "tRNA". Rfam says of the family: Transfer RNA (tRNA) molecules are approximately 80 nucleotides in length. Lineage: Bacteria; Pseudomonadati; Nitrospirota. The record is from RNAcentral.